Molecule: long non-coding RNA, 1377 nt
Organism: Tachysurus vachellii
Lineage: Eukaryota; Metazoa; Chordata; Actinopteri; Siluriformes; Bagridae
Exons: 4
Source: RefSeq, a predicted model, not a curated record
UAAUUUUGAUUGGAUUUUAUAAACGUAAACAUAUCCUUCACACAUUUUAAUUAAAUCUAAUAACAGAAAACACACCAAACACAAACGUUAGCAUUCGUUCUUUUGGGAACUAUUUUAUUACAUACUGAGAACUUUCUAUUCUGGUGAACAAGGUGCAAGUCCAAGUGACCGGUUCACCUCGGGUAGGAGUCAUCACAGCCAGAGAAAACAACCCACAUUUCUCUCAAUCACAAGCAUCUCAGCACGUCUCUUCUCUCGAAUGACUGGACCGACCAUCUGGGCCUGGAGAAGUCGGCAUGCUGUCAGUGUUUCAUCCGCCCUUCUUGUCAAGCUCUAAUCCUGCAGUAACCCAGAAGCAGAUGCCACCAGCACGAGGGAGGAAUAGCGAGAAGGAGCUGAAGCACAGUGUUGAGCUAUGUCCGGCCUGAGCAUGUCAUUCUGAGAAACACAACAGCCAGAAGGAGAGAGCAUGUCAGUGUGGCUGAAUGCAAAGGGAAACCUAAUCUCCUGGCAGUCGGUGCCCUUUGCUCCCCCAGAGAGAAGGGCGGCAACAAGAGAAGCAGCUGUCUCUUACAAUGGAGCAGCUCAACGAUCCUCAUUCAGACCUGGUUCACCAAUCCGGCAUCAAUGCACACGCCCAGCUGACAAUGCUGGCACACAGGAAAGCCAGACAUUGGUGGGGGAGGUGCUGGGCAUUGUCUUUGGAAAAAAGGAUGGCAACUAGGGUUGCAUCACCACUGGUUUAACUGCCAUGUCAAAUAUGAUCCACCCCUACUCAGCAGUUAUGUUCUGCCAAAACAGGACACCAAGAGACACAUUGAAAUACAAGAUCAACUUAUUUUUACAUUGGUCAUGUAUGGUUUUAGGCAUCUGGUCAAGAGUGAGUAGAAGAACUGAUAGAACUAUAGUAAACUCAGACAAGCACAAGGAAAAAAAUAUGAAUAAAACAAACAGAAUGAUCUGGAAUAUUGGUUCUGUUCAUUUUAUUAAGGCAAUUUUGUUUUUCAUUUUUAUUUAUUUCAUAAAAUCCAUAUAAUUUUACAAAAGAAACACAAACGUCCAAAUUGGGCUACUAUUUAUCAUUUAAGUUGUGUGUGAAUCUUUUCAUGGGUUAAGCCUAACUUAAUAUUUUUGCCAGAUUUACAAAAGUUAUCACUAGUUUCUUCUUACUUGUACUUGUGCAGAUAAACUACAAGAACUCGUGCUCGUUAUACAUUUUGAAAUCUUUCAGUCAUGUGUCACAAUAAUGAAUGUCUUCACAUCUAACACAGUUUUCAUGCAAUAUAAAUGUUUUGCUCUAUGUUCAUGAAUACCACAUUACCCUUGUAAAUGAUCCGGAAAACAAUUUAGCCACAAAUUAAUUCUUAUGUAGCUGGA